GGCGGCUCUGCAAAAGACAGGAUCAGGGUGUCAGCAGGCUCGGUGCCAGCUCUGUCCCUCCAAAACCACAUCUGGGUGUUUUUCAAAGGAGACCAUGCCCCUGUACACAAAGGGAAGGGUCCUACCUUCUUUCUAUUAAUACUGCAUACUGUGCACUUACUUUGCACCAAGCAAUUUGUAUUAACUGCAAACUUCACAAUAAUCGGAAGAUGCAAAUAAUAUUGUGGUUUUCAUUUUACAGAUAAGAAAACCGGGGCUCGGAGAGUGGACCCAGCUGGGGAUGACCUCCGUGCCGAGAAUACACUCCCCGUUCCCAAGGGCCUCUAAUCCCAGAAAUAACGCCUGAGCCUGAAAAGAGGGGAAGGACAGCCGGAGCAGUGGUUUGUGGCGGACGGGGGUUCUAAUUUGAGCUCCAUCUCUGACCCGGGCAGUGGUCUGGAGCAUGAUAUAAGAACCGAGAGCCGUGGGGCGCCUGGGUGGCUCAGUGGUUAAGCCACUGCCUUUGGCUCGGCUUGAUCUCAGGGUCCUGGGAUCGAGCCCCGCAUCGGGCUCUCUGCUCGGCAGGGAGCCUGCUUCCUCCUCUCUCUCUGCCUGCCUCUCUGCCAAAUAAAUAAAUAAAAA
Mustela lutreola (European mink) is the source of this 621-nucleotide long non-coding RNA. RefSeq lists it as uncharacterized. The record is from RefSeq and is a predicted model, not a curated record. NCBI's taxonomy places the organism in Eukaryota, Metazoa, Chordata, Mammalia, Carnivora, Mustelidae. The transcript is spliced from 2 exons.